GUUAAGAUGGCCGAGUUGGUCUAAGGCACUAGUUUCAGGAAUUGGUUUGAAAAUGCAUGGAUUCAAAUCCCAUUCUUGACA
Molecule: transfer RNA, 81 nt
Filed under: Ipomoea nil (Japanese morning glory)
Lineage: Eukaryota; Viridiplantae; Streptophyta; Magnoliopsida; Solanales; Convolvulaceae
Rfam family: tRNA
About the family: Transfer RNA (tRNA) molecules are approximately 80 nucleotides in length. Their secondary structure includes four short double-helical elements and three loops (D, anti-codon, and T loops). Further hydrogen bonds mediate the characteristic L-shaped molecular structure. tRNAs have two regions of fundamental functional importance: the anti-codon, which is responsible for specific mRNA codon recognition, and the 3' end, to which the tRNAs corresponding amino acid is attached (by aminoacyl-tRNA synthetases). tRNAs cope with the degeneracy of the genetic code in two manners: having more than one tRNA (with a specific anti-codon) for a particular amino acid; and 'wobble' base-pairing, i.e. permitting non-standard base-pairing at the 3rd anti-codon position.
Source: Rfam by way of RNAcentral